CGCCUGUUUAUUAAAAACAUCGCUUUUUGAUUUUUUAGUAUAAAAAGUCGGGCCUGCCCGGUGAGCUAUAUUAAACGGCUGCGACGAGAGUCGUACAAAGGUAGCGCGAUAAUUUGUCUCUUAAUUGGAGAAUGGUAUGAAAGGUUUGUCGCAGACUGGUUGUCUCUGAAGAAAUAGAUGAAGUUUCCUUUUAAAUGAAAAGGUUUAAAUUUUUGUAAAAGACGAGAAGACCCUGCCGAGCUGAAUUAAGUUGGAAAUUCUUAGGUACGAAGUACUGAGUUUCUAACUAAAAUGUAGUUGGGGAGAGCUAAGCUUAAAAGAAUAGGUUUAAUUAUUAGACACAGAUCCUCUCAGAGAGAAAGUUGGUAAAAGCUACCGCAGGGAUAACAGCGUAAUUUUUCUUGAGAGAUCGUAUUGAGGGAAAAGUUUGCGACCUCGAUGUUGGAUUAGGAAAACUUCUUGGUGCAGCAGCUAAGAGUGGUAAGACUGUUCGUCUUUUAAAUUCUUACAUGAUCUGAGUUCAGACCGG
This 529-nucleotide ribosomal RNA is filed under the name Paratapes undulatus (undulate venus clam). RNAcentral describes it as "partial 16S ribosomal RNA". It matches the Rfam family "Bacterial large subunit ribosomal RNA", at positions 1797 to 2619 of the family's 2925-position model. Lineage: Eukaryota; Metazoa; Mollusca; Bivalvia; Venerida; Veneridae. The record is from RNAcentral.